CAAAGGCAUGGUCCCGACCUUUUAAUCAGCUCCAACCUGACUUACACAUGCAAGUCUCCGCAGCCCUGUGAGCAUGCCCUCAAUCCCCUUGCCUGGGGAUAAGGAGCGGGUAUCAGGCACAAAAAUUAGCCCAAGACACCUAGCCCAGCCACGCCCCCAAGGGGAUCCAGCAGUGAUAAACAUUAAGCAAUGAGCGUUAAGCUUGACUCAGUCAAGGUUUCACAAGGGCCGGUAAAACUCGUGCCAGCAACCGCGGUUAGACGAGAGGCCCCAGUUGAUUAACCCACGGCGUAAAGGGUGGCUAUGGAACUCAGAAAAUAAAGCCAAAUGGCCCCUUGGCCGUCAUACGCUCCUGGGAGCCCGAAGCCCAAGCACGAAAGUAGCUUUAAAGACCACCUGAACCCACGAAAGCUAAGGAACAAACUGGGAUUAGAUACCCCAUUAUGCUUAGCCGUAAACCAAGAUACAUUAUUACAACGACAUCCGCCUGGACACUACGAGCACUAGCUUAAAACCCAAAGGACCUGACGGUGUCUUAGACCCCCCUAGAGGAGCCUGUUCUAGAACCGAUUACCCCCGUUAAACCUCACCACUUCUAGUUUAAACCAGCCUAUAUACCGCCGUCGCCAGCUUACCCUGUGAAGGAAAAGAAGUAAGCGAGAUGGGCAAAACCCAGAACGUCAGGUCGAGGUGUAGCAUAUGAAGUGGGAAGAAAUGGGCUACAUUUUCUGUAACAGAAUAUUACGAACACGCAACAUGAAACAUGUGCCAGAAGGAGGAUUUAGCAGUAAAAAGUGAAGCAGAGUGUCCUUUUGAAUUCGGCUCUAAGACGCGUACACACCGCCCGUCACUCCCCCCGGUCUGAAUGCGAAGAAAAUACCUAAUAAAACAGCACUGACGAGGGGGGAAAAGUCGUAACAAGGUAAGUGUACCGGAAGGUGCACUUGGAUCAAA
Molecule: non-coding RNA, 954 nt
Filed under: Barilius barila (barred baril)
Lineage: Eukaryota; Metazoa; Chordata; Actinopteri; Cypriniformes; Danionidae
Description: 12S ribosomal RNA
Rfam family: Bacterial small subunit ribosomal RNA
Source: RNAcentral